RNAcentral lists this ribosomal RNA (538 nucleotides) under Triticum aestivum (bread wheat). RNAcentral describes it as "partial small subunit ribosomal RNA". The record is from RNAcentral. Lineage: Eukaryota; Viridiplantae; Streptophyta; Magnoliopsida; Poales; Poaceae.
UGGUCUAGCCAGGCGGUGAUUAACAUGCACAGAAAAACCAAAAACCGUCUUAAACCCAACACGUUACUGUCUUUAGUCGUUUUCCUAUGGAGUUCAACCAUACUCUAAGUCUCUAAGUGUACUCCGGACCCACAAAACCCAUCUUAUACCCCCAGUGUAUCCAAAACUACACUCCUUUUCUACGUAGUUGAAUUCGUUUAAACUACCUUUCCGCUGAAGUACGUCUAAACAAACAAGGUUACUUCCGUAAUCUUCCUUCCCUGUUUGGCUGGCACUCGGUUUUGUAAAAUCUCGACUUUGUUCUUGAUUAACAUCUCAAGUCUACCAAUAAUCUAACCUAGCUCGACGUCUUUUAAUACUUCAAUGACUACAACUUGACCUUGUGUUGGUGAUAGAAGUUAACGGUGUUUGUGCGGUGAACAACCGACGUACAACAUCUCAUAACCUACCUUUAUUGUUUAAACGAUAAUGGUAACCCUCAAACGUACCACUAAACGACAAACUCCUCCUCGUGUAUCACUAUCCACUAGGAAACUGG